CGAAUACCGGAGAAUGUUAUCACGGGAGACACACGGCGGGUGCUAACGUCCGUCGUGAAGAGGGAAACAACCCAGACCGCCAGCUAAGGUCCCAAAGUCAUGGUUAAGUGGGAAACGAUGUGGGAAGGCCCAGACAGCCAGGAUGUUGGCUUAGAAGCAGCCAUCAUUUAAAGAAAGCGUAAUAGCUCACUGGUCGAGUCGGCCUGCGCGGAAGAUGUAACGGGGCUAAACCAUGCACCGAAGCUGCGGCAGCGACGCUUAUGCGUUGUUGGGUAGGGGAGCGUUCUGUAAGCCUGUGAAGGUGUGCUGUGAGGCAUGCUGGAGGUAUCAGAAGUGCGAAUGCUGACAUAAGUAACGAUAAAGCGGGUGAAAAGCCCGCUCGCCGGAAGACCAAGGGUUCCUGUCCAACGUUAAUCGGGGCAGGGUGAGUCGACCCCUAAGGCGAGGCCGAAAGGCGUAGUCGAUGGGAAACAGGUUAAUAUUCCUGUACUUGGUGUUACUGCGAAGGGGGGACGGAGAAGGCUAUGUUGGCCGGGCGACGGUUGUCCCGGUUUAAGCG
This 559-nucleotide ribosomal RNA is filed under the name Escherichia coli. Its description in RNAcentral is "partial 23S ribosomal RNA". It matches the Rfam family "Bacterial large subunit ribosomal RNA", at positions 957 to 1518 of the family's 2925-position model. Lineage: Bacteria; Pseudomonadati; Pseudomonadota; Gammaproteobacteria; Enterobacterales; Enterobacteriaceae. The record is from RNAcentral.